GACGUAGGGCGCGAGCGUUGUCCGGAUUUAUUGGGCGUAAAGAGCUCGUAGGCGCUUGUCGCGUCGACUGUGAAAUCCCGCGGCUCAACUGCGGGUCUGCAGUCGAUACGGGCAGGCUAGAGUUCGGUAGGGGAGACUGGAAUUCCUGGUGUAGCGGUGAAAUGCGCAGAUAUCAGGAGGAACACCGAUGGCGAAGGCAGGUCUCUGGGCCGAUACUGACGCUGAGGUGCGAAAGCGUGGGGAGCAAACAGG
Molecule: ribosomal RNA, 252 nt
Filed under: uncultured bacterium
Lineage: Bacteria
Description: partial 16S ribosomal RNA
Rfam family: Bacterial small subunit ribosomal RNA
Source: RNAcentral